RNAcentral lists this unclassified non-coding RNA (331 nucleotides) under soil metagenome. Its description in RNAcentral is "partial contains 5.8S ribosomal RNA, internal transcribed spacer 2, and large subunit ribosomal RNA". The stretch from base 1 to 120 matches the Rfam family "5.8S ribosomal RNA", at positions 35 to 154 of the family's 154-position model. The record is from RNAcentral.
GAUGAAGAACGUAGCGAAAUGCGAUAAGUAAUGUGAAUUGCAGAAUUCAGUGAAUCAUCGAAUCUUUGAACGCACAUUGCGCCCGCCAGUAUUCUGGCGGGCAUGCCUGUCCGAGCGUCAUUUCACCACUCAAGCCUCGCUUGGUAUUGGGCAACGCGGUCCGCCGCGUGCCUCAAAUCGACCGGCUGGGUCUUCUGUCCCCUAAGCGUUGUGGAAACUAUUCGCUAAAGGGUGUUCGGGAGGCUACGCCGUAAAACAACCCCAUUUCUAAGGUUGACCUCGGAUCAGGUAGGGAUACCCGCUGAACUUAAGCAUAUCAAUAAGCGGAGGA